AUUUUGAUACAACAAGGCUAAAUCAUUGAAAAUAAGGAAUUUUCAUCAACCUUAUCACUUUGCACGACCAUUAUUCUGAAAAACAGAGAGAAAAGAAAACCAAAAACCAUUUCUUGGCUGGUCUGAAGAAAUUCUAAGGAGAUCCAAGUGAAAGCAAAGCCAAAGAAGUAGAUUAAGCUUAGUUCUAACCUUUUUAUGAUAUUUCUUGGGUUUUCCAAGUGGUUUGAGGUUUAGAAAAGCUUGAAGAGAUUGUUUUCGCCAAAAAGUUGCUCGGUAGAGAAAGAAAUGUGUGAAUGACAUGAGGAGAACUGAAGCAUGGUCCUGACCCUGAUUUGUACAUAUGAACAUAUCGACCUUUUUGUGGGUUAUUUCAGUUAUCAGUGAGAUGUUUGUAAUAAAGUGUGAAGUUAUGUUUUGAAAACAAAUUGGGUUAUUUAAUACUUAUGUAUAAUAUGUUUGA
Molecule: long non-coding RNA, 460 nt
Organism: Humulus lupulus (European hop)
Lineage: Eukaryota; Viridiplantae; Streptophyta; Magnoliopsida; Rosales; Cannabaceae
Exons: 3
Source: RefSeq, a predicted model, not a curated record